Molecule: ribosomal RNA, 492 nt
Filed under: uncultured bacterium
Lineage: Bacteria
Description: partial 16S ribosomal RNA
Rfam family: Bacterial small subunit ribosomal RNA
Source: RNAcentral
AGUGAACGCUGGCGGUAGGCCUAACACAUGCAAGUCGAACGGCAGCACAGUAAGAGCUUGCUCUUACGGGUGGCGAGUGGCGGACGGGUGAGGAAUACAUCGGAAUCUACUUUUUCGUGGGGGAUAACGUAGGGAAACUUACGCUAAUACCGCAUACGACCUACGGGUGAAAGCAGGGGAUCUUCGGACCUUGCGCGAUUGAAUGAGCCGAUGUCGGAUUAGCUAGUUGGCGGGGUAAAGGCCCACCAAGGCGACGAUCCGUAGCUGGUCUGAGAGGAUGAUCAGCCACACUGGAACGUAGACACGGUCCAGACUCCUACGGGAGGCAGCAGUGGGGAAUAUUGGACAAUGGGCGGGAGCCUGAUCCAGCCAGACCGCGUGGGUGAAGAAGGCCUUCGGGUUGUAAAGCCCUUUUGUUGGGAAAGAAAAGCAGCAGGUUAAUACCCCGCUGUUCUGACGGUACCCAAAGAAUAAGCACCGGCUAACUUCGUG